AACGUAGGAGACGAACGUUAUCCGGAGUUACUGGGCGUAAAGGGCGUGUAGGCGGUUUGUUAAGUCUGGCGUGAAAGCUCUCGGCUAAACCGGGAGAGGUCGUUGGAUACUGGCAAACUUGAGGAUGGUAGAGGCGUGUGGAAUUCCGGGUGUAGUGGUGAAAUGCGUAGAGAUCCGGAGGAACACCAGUGGCGAAGGCGACACGCUGGGCCAUACCUGACGCUAAAGCGCGACAGCGUGGGGAGCGAACAGG
RNAcentral lists this ribosomal RNA (253 nucleotides) under uncultured bacterium. RNAcentral's name for it is "partial 16S ribosomal RNA". It matches the Rfam family "Bacterial small subunit ribosomal RNA", at positions 524 to 776 of the family's 1533-position model. The record is from RNAcentral.